This 545-nucleotide ribosomal RNA is filed under the name uncultured bacterium. RNAcentral describes it as "bacterial SSU rRNA". It matches the Rfam family "Bacterial small subunit ribosomal RNA", at positions 37 to 578 of the family's 1533-position model. The record is from RNAcentral.
UGGCGGCAGGCCUAACACAUGCAAGUCGAGCGGUAACAGAUCCAGCUUGCUGGAUGCUGACGAGCGGCGGACGGGUGAGUAAUGCAUAGGAAUCUACCCGAUAGUGGGGGAUAACCUGGGGAAACCCAGGCUAAUACCGCAUACGUCCUACGGGAGAAAGGGGGCUCCGGCUCCCGCUAUGGGAUGAGCCUAUGUCGGAUUAGCUAGUUGGUGAGGUAAUGGCUCACCAAGGCCACGAUCCGUAGCUGGUCUGAGAGGAUGAUCAGCCACAUCGGGACUGAGACACGGCCCGAACUCCUACGGGAGGCAGCAGUGGGGAAUAUUGGACAAUGGGCGAAAGCCUGAUCCAGCCAUGCCGCGUGUGUGAAGAAGGCCCUCGGGUUGUAAAGCACUUUACAGCGAGGAAGAACGCCUAGCGGUUAAUACCCGCUAGGAAAGACAUCACUCGCAGAAGAAGCACCGGCUAACUCCGUGCCAGCAGCCGCGGUAAUACGGAGGGUGCAAGCGUUAAUCGGAAUUACUGGGGGUAAAGCGCGCGUAGGUGG